UACGUAGGUGGCAAGCGUUGUCCGGAAUUAUUGGGCGUAAAGCGCGCGCAGGCGGUUCCUUAAGUCUGAUGUGAAAGCCCCCCGGCUCAACCGGGGAGGGUCAUUGGAAACUGGGGAACUUGAGUACUGAAGAGGAAAGCGGAAUUCCACGUGUAGCGGUGAAAUGCGUAGAGAUGUGGAGGAACACCAGUGGCGAAGGCGCUUUCUGGUCAGUAACUGACGCUGAGGCGCGAAAGCGUGGGGAGCAAACAGG
RNAcentral lists this ribosomal RNA (253 nucleotides) under uncultured bacterium. RNAcentral's name for it is "partial 16S ribosomal RNA". It matches the Rfam family "Bacterial small subunit ribosomal RNA", at positions 524 to 776 of the family's 1533-position model. The record is from RNAcentral.